UUGAACGCUGGCGGCAUGCUUUACACAUGCAAGUCGAACGGUAACAGGCCGCAAGGUGCUGACGAGUGGCGAACGGGUGAGUAAUGCAUCGGAACGUGCCCAGUCGUGGGGGAUAACUACUCGAAAGAGUAGCUAAUACCGCAUACGAUCUAUGGAUGAAAGCGGGGGACCGUAAGGCCUCGCGCGAUUGGAGCGGCCGAUGUCAGAUUAGGUAGUUGGUGGGGUAAAGGCUCACCAAGCCAACGACCUGUAGCUGGUCUGAGAGGACGACCAGCCACACUGGGACUGAGACACGGCCCAGACUCCUACGGGAGGCAGCAGUGGGGAAUUUUGGACAAUGGGCGCAAGCCUGAUCCAGCAAUGCCGCGUGCAGGAAGAAGGCCUUCGGGUUGUAAACUGCUUUUGUACGGAACGAAACGGCUCUGGUUAAUACCCGGGGCUAAUGACGGUACCGUAAGAAUAAGCACCGGCUAACUACGU
Molecule: ribosomal RNA, 480 nt
Filed under: uncultured bacterium
Lineage: Bacteria
Description: partial 16S ribosomal RNA
Rfam family: Bacterial small subunit ribosomal RNA
Source: RNAcentral